RNAcentral lists this ribosomal RNA (497 nucleotides) under uncultured bacterium. Its description in RNAcentral is "partial 16S ribosomal RNA". It matches the Rfam family "Bacterial small subunit ribosomal RNA", at positions 28 to 507 of the family's 1533-position model. The record is from RNAcentral.
GAUGAACGCUGGCGGCGUACCUAAUACAUGCAAGUCGAGCGAACGGACGAGAAGCUUGCUUUUCUGAUGUUAGCGGCGGACGGGUGAGUAACACGUGGAUAACCUACCUAUAAGACUGGGAUAACUUCGGGAAACCGGAGCUAAUACCGGAUAAUAUUUUGAACCGCAUGGUUCAUAAGUGAAAGACGGUCUUGCUGUCACUUAUAGAUGGAUCCGCGCUGCAUUAGCUAGUUGGUAAGGUAACGGCUUACCAAGGCAACGAUGCAUAGCCGACCUGAGAGGGUGAUCGGCCACACUGGAACUGAGACACGGUCCAGACUCCUACGGGAGGCAGCAGUAGGGAAUCUUCCGCAAUGGGCGAAAGCCUGACGGAGCAACGCCGCGUGAGUGAUGAAGGUCUUCGGAUCGUAAAACUCUGUUAUUAGGGAAGAACAUAUGUGUAAGUAACUGUGCACAUCUUGACGGUACCUAAUCAGAAAGCCACGGCUAACUACGUG